UUUCAUAAAGAUCCAUACACUUACACCCUAGUUAUUGUCCUGAAACUAGAAAAAUGCUUGUUGUUUUGCCCCUUUUUGGCCCCUAAUUCCUAAAAUUUUGAGGCAAUUACCCCCAAAAUCAAUCCCAGCCUUCCCUUUGUUGUAUGGUACCUUGCAGUACAAUUUCAGAGAGAUCCAUACACUUGAACACAAGUUAUUGUCUGGAAACUAGAAUAAAAUGCUCCGCUGGGGCGCAGCUUGAUACGACCGCAGAGGUCGAACCCUGAACAGUUGGGGCAAGUAUGGACACAACAUUCAAGCUUGAUACAGCACUGAAUUUGGAUUGUAAUUAAAUAUUUGACACAGCAUAGGUUUCUGACACAGAAUGAAUGUGGUCGAAGAACUUAAAAAAUUUUAAUUUACCUAUUAUGGUCCAAUAUCCAAAAUCUAAAUACAUACACGGUUAGAUUCAGCAUAUCAAAGAACCCCAAGAAUUCAAUUUUUGUUAAAAUCAAACUAAGUUUAAUUUUGGACCCUUUGGACUUUAAUGUAGACCAAUUUGAAAACAGGACCAAAAAUUAAGAAUCUAAAUACACGGUUAGAUUCAGCAUAUCAAAGAACCCCAAUAUUUCAAUUUUUGAUGAAAUCAAACCAUAUCAUUAUUAUUUGCUUUUAUAUA
This is a long non-coding RNA of Mytilus californianus (California mussel), 658 nucleotides long. RefSeq lists it as uncharacterized. The record is from RefSeq and is a predicted model, not a curated record. The transcript has 2 exons. Lineage: Eukaryota; Metazoa; Mollusca; Bivalvia; Mytilida; Mytilidae.